GACGAACGCUGGCGGCGUGCCUAAUACAUGCAAGUAGAACGCACAGUUUAUACCGUAGCUUGCCACACCAUAGACUGUGAGUUGCGAACGGGUGAGUAACGCGUAGGUAACCUGCCUGGUAGCGGGGGAUAACUAUUGGAAACGAUAGCUAAUACCGCAUAAUAUUAAUUAUUGCAUGAUAAUUAAUUGAAAGGUGCAAUUGCACCACUACCAGAUGGACCUGCGUUGUAUUAGCUAGUAGGUGAGGUAACGGCUCACCUAGGCGACGAUACAUAGCCGACCUGAGAGGGUGAUCGGCCACACUGGGACUGAGACACGGCCCAGACUCCUACGGGAGGCAGCAGUAGGGAAUCUUCGGCAAUGGACGAAAGUCCGACCGAGCAACGCCGCGUGAGUGAAGAAGGUUUUCGGAUCGUAAAGCUCUGUUGUAAGAGAAGAACGGGUGUGAGAGUGGAAAGUUCACACUGUGACGGUAUCUUACCAGAAAGGGACGGCUAACUACGUG
Molecule: ribosomal RNA, 505 nt
Filed under: uncultured bacterium
Lineage: Bacteria
Description: partial 16S ribosomal RNA
Rfam family: Bacterial small subunit ribosomal RNA
Source: RNAcentral